Molecule: ribosomal RNA, 497 nt
Filed under: uncultured bacterium
Lineage: Bacteria
Description: partial 16S ribosomal RNA
Rfam family: Bacterial small subunit ribosomal RNA
Source: RNAcentral
GACGAACGCUGGCGGCGUGCCUAAUACAUGCAAGUCGAGCGAACAGACGAGGAGCUUGCUCCUCUGACGUUAGCGGCGGACGGGUGAGUAACACGUGGAUAACCUACCUAUAAGACUGGGAUAACUUCGGGAAACCGGAGCUAAUACCGGAUAAUAUAUUGAACCGCAUGGUUCAAUAGUGAAAGACGGUUUUGCUGUCACUUAUAGAUGGAUCCGCGCCGCAUUAGCUAGUUGGUAAGGUAACGGCUUACCACGGCAACGAGGCGUAGCCGACCUGAGAGGGUGAUCGGCCACACUGGAACUGAGACACGGUCCAGACGCCUACGGGAGGCAGCAGUAGGGAAUCUUCCGCAAUGGGCGAAAGCUUGACGGAGCAACGCCGCGUGAGUGAUGAAGGUCUUCGGAUCGUAAAGCUCUGUUAUUAGGGAAGAACAAAUGUGUAAGUAGCUAUGCACGUCUUGACGGUACCGAAUCAGAAAGCCACGGCUAACUACGUG